RNAcentral lists this ribosomal RNA (439 nucleotides) under uncultured bacterium. RNAcentral's name for it is "partial 16S ribosomal RNA". It matches the Rfam family "Bacterial small subunit ribosomal RNA", at positions 339 to 795 of the family's 1533-position model. The record is from RNAcentral.
CUACGGGCGGCUCCAGUGAGGAAUAUUGCACAAUGGGGGGAACCCUGAUGCAGCAACGCCGCGUGGAGGAUGACGCAUUUCGGUGUGUAAACUCCUUUUAUAUGUCAAGAAAAUGACGGUAGCAUAUGAAUAAGCACCGGCUAACUCCGUGCCAGCAGACGCGGUAAUACGGAGGGUGCAAGCGUUACUCGGAAUCACUGGGCGUAAAGUACGCGUAGGCGGGUUGGAAAGUCAGGUGUGAAAUCCUACAGCUUAACUGUAGAACUGCACUUGAAACUUCUAAUCUAGAGUAUGGGAGGGGGAGAUGGAAUUAGUGGUGUAGGGGUAAAAUCCGUAGAUAUCACUAGGAAUACCUAAAGCGAAGGCGAUCUCCUGGAACAUUACUGACGCUAAGGCGUGAAAGCGUGGGGAGCAAACAGGAUUAGAUACCCCGGUAGUC